GGCUCGUUGGUCUAGGGGUAUGAUUCUUGCUUUAGGGUGCGAGAGGUCCCGGGUUCAAAUCCCGGACGAGCCC
RNAcentral lists this transfer RNA (73 nucleotides) under Danionella translucida. It matches the Rfam family "tRNA". From Rfam's summary of the family: Transfer RNA (tRNA) molecules are approximately 80 nucleotides in length. Their secondary structure includes four short double-helical elements and three loops (D, anti-codon, and T loops). The record is from Rfam by way of RNAcentral. RNAcentral also lists the same sequence under 1 other name. Lineage: Eukaryota; Metazoa; Chordata; Actinopteri; Cypriniformes; Danionidae.